UACGGAGGGUGCAAGCGUUGUCCGGAAUCACUGGGCGUAAAGGGCGCGUAGGCGGCCUGGUAAGUAGGGGGUGAAAUCCUGCGGCUUAACCGCAGGGCUGCCUUCUAAACUGUCAGGCUUGAGCACGGUAGAGGCAGAUGGAAUUCCCGGUGUAGCGGUGGAAUGCGUAGAGAUCGGGAAGAACAUCAGUGGCGAAGGCGGCUACCUGGACCGGUACUGACGCUGAGGCGCGAAAGCUAGGGUAGCAAACAGG
This 253-nucleotide ribosomal RNA is filed under the name uncultured bacterium. RNAcentral's name for it is "partial 16S ribosomal RNA". It matches the Rfam family "Bacterial small subunit ribosomal RNA", at positions 524 to 776 of the family's 1533-position model. The record is from RNAcentral.